RNAcentral lists this ribosomal RNA (595 nucleotides) under uncultured bacterium. RNAcentral's name for it is "bacterial SSU rRNA". It matches the Rfam family "Bacterial small subunit ribosomal RNA", at positions 110 to 702 of the family's 1533-position model. The record is from RNAcentral.
GUAAUACAUCGGAACGUACCUUAUCGUGGGGGAUAACGCAGCGAAAGCUGUGCUAAUACCGCAUACGCCCUGAGGGGGAAAGCGGGGGAUCGAAAGACCUCGCGCGAUUAGAGCGGCCGAUGCCUGAUUAGCUUGUUGGUGGGGUAAAAGCCCACCAAGGCGACGAUCAGUAGCUGGUCUGAGAGGACGAUCAGCCACACUGGGACUGAGACACGGCCCAGACUCCUACGGGAGGCAGCAGUGGGGAAUUUUGGACAAUGGGGGAAACCCUGAUCCAGCAAUGCCGCGUGAGUGAAGAAGGCCUUCGGGUUGUAAAGCUCUUUUGUCAGGGAAGAAACACCGGCUCUAACACAGUCCGGGAAUGACGGUACCUGAAGAAUAAGCACCGGCUAACUACGUGCCAGCAGCCGCGGUAAUACGUAGGGUGCAAGCGUUAAUCGGAAUUACUGGGCGUAAAGCGUGCGCAGGCGGUUAUACAAGACAGGCGUGAAAUCCCCGGGCUUAACCUGGGAAUGGCGCCUGUGACUGUAUAGCUAGAGUGUGUCAGAGGGGGGUAGAAUUCCACGUGUAGCAGUGAAAUGCGUAGAUAUGUGGA